RNAcentral lists this ribosomal RNA (914 nucleotides) under uncultured marine archaeon. RNAcentral describes it as "bacterial SSU rRNA". It matches the Rfam family "Archaeal small subunit ribosomal RNA", at positions 1 to 922 of the family's 1478-position model. The record is from RNAcentral.
UUCCGGUUGAUCCUGCCGGACCUGACUGCUAUCGGAUUGAUACUAAGCCAUGCGAGUCUUUGCAGUAAUGCAAGGCAUACGGCUCAGUAACACGUAGUCAACUUACCCUAUGGACGAGGAUAAUCUCGGGAAACUGAGCAUAAUACUCGAUAGAUCAUAAUGCCUGGAAUGGUUUAUGGUUGAAAUGAUUCGUCGCCAUAGGAUGGGACUGCGGCCUAUCAGCUUGUUGGUGAGGUAAUGGCCCACCAAGGCGAUUACAGGUACGGGCUCUGAGAGGAGAAGCCCGGAGAUGGGUACUGAGACAAGGACCCAGGCCCUAUGGGGCGCAGCAGGCGAGAAAACUUUGCAAUGUGCGAAAGCACGACAAGGUUAAUCCGAGUGAUUUCUGCUAAAGAAAUCUUUUGCAAGUCAUAAAACCACUAGUGAAUAAGGGGUGGGCAAGUUCUGGUGUCAGCCGCCGCGGUAAAACCAGCACCUCAAGUGGUCAGGAGGAUUAUUGGGCCUAAAGCAUCCGUAGCCGGCUCUGUAAGUUUCCGGUUAAAUCCAUGUGCUCAACGCAUGGGCUGCCGAAAAUACUGCAUAGCUAGGGAGUGGGAGAGGUAGACGGUACUCAGUAGGAAGGGGUAAAAUCCUUUGAUCUAUUGAUGACCACCUGUGGCGAAGGCGGUCUACCAGAACACGUUCGACGGUGAGGGAUGAAAGCUGGGGGAGCAAACCGGAUUAGAUACCCGGGUAGUCCCAGCUGUAAACGAUGCAGACUCGAUGAUGCAUUGGCAUAUAGCCAGUGCAGUGUCGCAGGGAAGCCGUUAAGUCUGCCGCCUGGGAAGUACGUACGCAAGUAUGAAACUUAAAGGAAUUGGCGGGGGAGCACCACAAGGGGUGAAGCCUGCGGUUCAAUUGGAUUCAACGCCGGG